CCGAUCGCAGCUACCAUGCAGUCGAGCGGGGGAGGUUGCUUCGGUAAUUGACCUAGCGGCGGACGGGUGAGUAAUACUUAGGAAUCUGCCUAUUAAUGGGGGACAACAUCUCGAAAGGGAUGCUAAUACCGCAUACGCCCUACGGGGGAAAGCAGGGGAUCACUUGUGACCUUGCGUUAAUAGAUGAGCCUAAGUCGGAUUAGCUAGUUGGUGGGGUAAAGGCCUACCAAGGCGACGAUCUGUAGCGGGUCUGAGAGGAUGAUCCGCCACACUGGGACUGAGACACGGCCCAGACUCCUACGGGAGGCAGCAGUGGGGAAUAUUGGACAAUGGGGGGAACCCUGAUCCAGCCAUGCCGCGUGUGUGAAGAAGGCCUUAUGGUUGUAAAGCACUUUAAGCGAGGAGGAGGCUCUUUUGGUUAAUACCCAAGAUGAGUGGACGUUACUCGCAGAAUAAGCACCGGCUAACUCUGUGCCAGCAGCCGCGGUAAUACAGAGGGUGCGAGCGUUAAUCGGAUUUACUGGGCGUAAAGCGUGCGUAGGCGGCUUUUUAAGUCGGAUGUGAAAUCCCCGAGCUUAACUUGGGAAUUGCAUUCGAUACUGGGAAGCUAGAGUAUGGGAGAGGAUGGUAGAAUUCCAGGUGUAGCGGUGAAAUGCGUAGAGAUCUGGAGGAAUACCGAUGGCGAAGGCAGCCAUCUGGCCUAAUACUGACGCUGAGGUACGAAAGCAUGGGGAGCAAACAGGAUUAGAUACCCUGGUAGUCCAUGCCGUAAACGAUGUCUACUAGCCGUUGGGGUCUUUGAGACUUUAGUGGCGCAGCUAACGCGAUAAGUAGACCGCCUGGGGAGUACGGUCGCAAGACUAAAACUCAAAUGAAUUGACGGGGGCCCGCACAAGCGGUGGAGCAUGUGGUUUAAUUCGAUGCAACGCGAAGACCUUACCUGGUCUUGA
RNAcentral lists this ribosomal RNA (950 nucleotides) under Acinetobacter sp. OVC8. Its description in RNAcentral is "bacterial SSU rRNA". It matches the Rfam family "Bacterial small subunit ribosomal RNA", at positions 40 to 984 of the family's 1533-position model. The record is from RNAcentral. Lineage: Bacteria; Pseudomonadati; Pseudomonadota; Gammaproteobacteria; Moraxellales; Moraxellaceae.